This 21-nucleotide non-coding RNA is filed under the name Arabidopsis thaliana (thale cress). The record is from RNAcentral. Lineage: Eukaryota; Viridiplantae; Streptophyta; Magnoliopsida; Brassicales; Brassicaceae.
CACCACGAGGCGCUGUCUACG